AGUGAACGCUGGCGGUAGGCCUAACACAUGCAAGUCGAACGGCAGCACAGUAAGAGCUUGCUCUUACGGGUGGCGAGUGGCGGACGGGUGAGGAAUACAUCGGAAUCUACUUUUUCGUGGGGGAUAACGUAGGGAAACUUACGCUAAUACCGCAUACGACCUACGGGUGAAAGCAGGGGAUCUUCGCACCUUGCGCGAUUGAAUGAGCCGAUGUCGGAUUAGCUAGUUGGCGGGGUAAAGGCCCACCAAGGCGACGAUCCGUAGCUGGUCUGAGAGGAUGAUCAGCCACACUGGAACUGAGACACGGUCCAGACUCCUACGGGAGGCAGCAGUGGGGAAUAUUGGACAAUGGGCGCAAGCCUGAUCCAGCCAUACCGCGUGGGUGAAGAAGGUCUUCGGGUUGUAAAGCCCUUUUGUUGGGAAAGAAAAGCAGCAGGUUAAUACCCCGCUGUUCUGACGGUACCCAAAGAAUAAGCACCGGCUAACUUCGUG
RNAcentral lists this ribosomal RNA (492 nucleotides) under uncultured bacterium. Its description in RNAcentral is "partial 16S ribosomal RNA". It matches the Rfam family "Bacterial small subunit ribosomal RNA", at positions 29 to 507 of the family's 1533-position model. The record is from RNAcentral.